Molecule: ribosomal RNA, 253 nt
Filed under: uncultured bacterium
Lineage: Bacteria
Description: partial 16S ribosomal RNA
Rfam family: Bacterial small subunit ribosomal RNA
Source: RNAcentral
UACGUAGGGUGCAAGCGUUGUCCGGAAUUACUGGGACGUAAGGCUCGUAGGCGGCCAACUAAGUCAUACGUGAAAUCCCUCGGCUUAACCGGGAACUGCGUCUGAAUACUGGAUGGCUUGAGUUCGGGAGAGGGAUGCGGAAUUCCAGGUGUAGCGGUGAAAUGCGUAGAUAUCUGGAGGAACACCGGUGGCGAAGGCGGCAUCCUGGACCGAUACUGACGCUGAGGAGCGAAAGCCAGGGGAGCAAAGCGGG